RNAcentral lists this ribosomal RNA (492 nucleotides) under uncultured bacterium. RNAcentral describes it as "partial 16S ribosomal RNA". It matches the Rfam family "Bacterial small subunit ribosomal RNA", at positions 29 to 507 of the family's 1533-position model. The record is from RNAcentral.
AGUGAACGCUGGCGGUAGGCCUAACUCAUGCAAGUCGAACGGCAGCACAGUAAGAGCUUGCUCUUACGGGUGGCGAGUGGCGGACGGGUGAGGAAUACAUCGGAAUCUACUUUUUCGUGGGGGAUAACGUAGGGAAACUUACGCUAAUACCGCAUACGACCUACGGGUGAAAGCAGGGGAUCUUCGGACCUUGCGCGAUUGAAUGAGCCGAUGUCGGAUUAGCUAGUUGGCGGGGUAAAGGCCCACCAAGGCGACGAUCCGUAGCUGGUCUGAGAGGAUGAUCCGCCACCCUGGAACUGAGACACGGUCCCGACUCCUACGGGAGGCAGCAGUGGGGACUAUUGGACAAUGGGCGCAAGCCUGAUCCAGCCAUACCGCGUGGGUGAAGAAGGCCUUCGGGUUGUAAAGCCCUUUUGUUGGGAAAGAAAAGCAGCAGGUUAAUCCCCCGCUGUUCUGACGGUACCCAAAGAAUAAGCACCGGCUAACUUCGUG